Long non-coding RNA from Neofelis nebulosa (Clouded leopard), 1239 nucleotides. RefSeq lists it as uncharacterized. The record is from RefSeq and is a predicted model, not a curated record. NCBI's taxonomy places the organism in Eukaryota, Metazoa, Chordata, Mammalia, Carnivora, Felidae. The transcript has 5 exons.
UGCGGAGCUGAGGGGAGAUGAGGCACCCGAGGGCGCCUGGACGUCAGGGCACGGGCGGCUGGUGCCCCCGUCACCGAGGGGCACCCUGAGGUCGGGGUGCGGGCCCAGGCAGCCAGGAUGGGAACCCGGGCCUGGGGGCUCCAGAGCGACCCUGCGCCUCCUCAGGGCAGGGGUGAAGAGACUUCAGGGAGGGGAAGGACAGAUCAGAUGCUCGAAUGUAGGGUCUCAAAACUCUACAGGCUGCGGGGCCAGACAGGGGACAAAGGACUAAAGCAGACAUCAGGAAUGUUGACAAAAACUCCUGGCUCUUAAAUAAUGGCAGAUCACUGUCACAGUUUUAACACUGUUGGCGAAAACAGAAGACGUUUGCGGGCUGCGUUGGGCUCGGAGGCGGCCAGCGUGAGACCCGUGUAGGAGACUCUGGGGGGCCUGGUUGAGGACUGUGGCGUGGGAGGAGAAAAGAGGGUCUCCGAGGAGGCACCCAGUCUUACCUCUACCACCGUCAGGAUGAAGCCUUUCCACAUCUCCCGAGACUCCAGGCUCUCUACCUGCGGAGGGACAGAAAAAGAGCCCAUGGCGAUGAGCCUCGGUCAAUUCAUCUGUGAAAUGGGAGCGAGCAAUAAUAGUCACUGUUUUCCAAGGGUUCUUUUGAAGAUUAAACGAGUUGGGACCCGGGUUACUUUCGGAUGUCUGGACAUCAUAAGUCGUCAGGAAAGCGAAGAACCCGAGGCCUAGAGAAGUCAAGUGACUCGGCCAGUGUCACCAACCCAGUGGUAGCCUCCGUGCGACUCCGUGCUAGUGUGUGUUAGUGGACUGCGUUGGAUACGGGUGGCGAGCGUGAACAUCCUUGCCCUGUUCCCUCUGUUACGGGGAAAGCGUCUAGUCUUUCCCCAUCGAGUACAAUGUUAAUUGCAGGUCCUGAGGAUUAGAAUAUGAACAUCUUUAGGGAACCGUUAUUCCACGACCACAGCCUGUUAAAUAUGAUGGCUAACAUUGAUUGAUUCUUGAAUACUGAACCUGCUAUGCAUCCCUGGAGUAAACCCCACUCAGUCAUACUCGCCCUCAGAAGGGAUCUGUGCUGACAGUGUGGAGCCUGCUUGGGAUUCUCUUUUCUCUCUCUCUCACUCUCUUCUCCUCCCCCGCUUACGCAUGCACUCUCUCUCUCUCUCAAAAAAAAAAAAAAAUUAAAUGAAUUGGAAAAUGUUCCCUCUUCUUCAAGUUUCUGGAAGACAUUUUUUU